GGACUACCCGGGUAUCUAAUCCUGUUUGCUCCCCUAGCUUUCGUGCCUCAGUGUCAGGAGUUUUCCAGGGACUCGCCUUCGCCACUGGUGUUCCACUUGAUAUCUACGCAUUUCACUGCUACACCAAGUAUUCCAGUCCCCCCUCAAACCCUCUAGCCGAAUAGUAUCCAAUGCCAUUUCCGAGUUAAGCUCGGAGAUUUCACAUCAGACUUACCCGACCACCUACGCACCCUUUACGCCCAGUGAAUCCGAACAACGCUUGGGACCUCUGUAUUACCGCGGCUGCUGGCAC
Molecule: ribosomal RNA, 292 nt
Filed under: uncultured Verrucomicrobiota bacterium
Lineage: Bacteria; Pseudomonadati; Verrucomicrobiota
Description: uncultured Verrucomicrobia bacterium partial 16S ribosomal RNA
Source: RNAcentral